Molecule: ribosomal RNA, 604 nt
Filed under: Panus neostrigosus
Lineage: Eukaryota; Fungi; Basidiomycota; Agaricomycetes; Polyporales; Panaceae
Description: LSU rRNA
Rfam family: Eukaryotic large subunit ribosomal RNA
Source: RNAcentral
AAACUAACAAGGAUUCCCCUAGUAACUGCGAGUGAAGCGGGAAAAGCUCAAAUUUAAAAUCUGGCAGUCUUUGGCUGUCCGAAUUGUAUUCUGGAGAAGCGUUUUCCGCGCUGGACCGUGUAUAAGUCUCUUGGAAUAGAGCGUCAUAGAGGGUGAGAAUCCCGUCUUUGACACGGACUACCAGUGCUUUGUGAUGCGCUCUCAAAGAGUCGAGUUGUUUGGGAAUGCAGCUCAAAAUGGGUGGUGAAUUCCAUCUAAAGCUAAAUAUUGGCGAGAGACCGAUAGCGAACAAGUACCGUGAGGGAAAGAUGAAAAGCACUUUGGAAAGAGAGUUAAACAGUACGUGAAAUUGCUGAAAGGGAAACGCUUGAAGUCAGUCGCGUCAUUCAGAACUCAGCCUGGCUUUUGCUUGGUGUAUUUUCUGGUUGACGGGCCAGCAUCAAUUUUGACCGCUGGAAAAAGGCUAUGGGAAUGUGGCACCUUUUGGUGUGUUAUAGCCCAUGGUCAUAUACAGCGGUUGGGAUUGAGGACCGCAGCACGCCUUUAUGGUUGGGGUUCGCCCACAUUCGUGCUUAGGAUGCUGGCGUAAUGGCUUUAAACGACC